RNAcentral lists this long non-coding RNA (244 nucleotides) under Callithrix jacchus (white-tufted-ear marmoset). Its description in RNAcentral is "lncRNA (ENSCJAG00000077872.1)". The record is from RNAcentral. Lineage: Eukaryota; Metazoa; Chordata; Mammalia; Primates; Cebidae.
CAGGCUCGGAGGCUGGAGAGGCAGCUGGCAGCAGCGGAUGACACUGAAGCCAGCGGCGGCAGGAUAGGAAUGAUGCACUAUCCCAGGACAGAGCUGUGGGCCCCAGCCCUGUAUGAAAUGGAGAUCCCAGAUCCUGAGGGUUCAGGGCUCAUGGUGCCCAUCCUGGGCAUGGAGCAUGAUGAGAAUUCGGGCGAUGCCACACCUCUGGCAGGCUCAACAGCAAAGCUCUAGUUUCUAAAGCCAG